This 254-nucleotide ribosomal RNA is filed under the name uncultured bacterium. RNAcentral's name for it is "partial 16S ribosomal RNA". It matches the Rfam family "Bacterial small subunit ribosomal RNA", at positions 524 to 776 of the family's 1533-position model. The record is from RNAcentral.
UACAGAGGGUGCAAGCGUUGUUCGGAAUUAUUGGGCGUAAAGCGCGUGUAGGCGGCCAAGCAAGUCGGGUGUGAAAGCCCUCAGCUUAACUGAGGAAGUGCGCCCGAAACUACGUGGCUUGAGUACCGGAGAGGGUGGCGGAAUUCCCGGUGUAGAGGUGAAAUGCGUAGAUAUCUGGAGGAAUACCGGUGGCGAAGGCGGCAUCCUGGACCGGCAUUGACGCUGAGUGAGCGAAAGCCAGGGGAGCAAACGGG